This 351-nucleotide long non-coding RNA is filed under the name Ananas comosus (pineapple). RNAcentral's name for it is "long non-coding RNA (ACOM_LNC013107)". The record is from RNAcentral. Lineage: Eukaryota; Viridiplantae; Streptophyta; Magnoliopsida; Poales; Bromeliaceae.
GAUGCAAUUUUUGUAUCUGAUAUCAUUUGCGACAUUCUCUAUGGUGUGACUGUUAAAAAUGCAUGUUCUCAGUUUAUUGAAAAUUUCUUUUUUUUGCCUAAUUUUAUCUUAGGAUGUAUUUGACUAACUAGUCAUGAUUAGUGCUUCUUGUAAGUGUUAUUUAAACAAAACUGUUCGAACAAGCACAAAUUAGAGCAUGUGUUUUUGUCGGAUAUGCGGCUGUUCUAUAUUGGAGUUGAGAAAUUUGUUGGUGUUGAGAAACUAUUUACAAGUCGGCGCUUAGUAAAAUGAUUUUAUUUAGUUAUUUUAUAUAUAUUUGUGAACUAGAAGUAGUUUGUGAUGUUUUUUUUU